GGUUAAGCGACUAAGCGUACACGGUGGAUGCCUAGGCAAUCAGAGGCGAUGAAGGACGUGCUAAUCUGCGAAAAGCGUCGGUAAGGUGAUAUGAACCGUUAUAACCGACGAUGUCCGAAUGGGGAAACCCAGUGCAAUUCGUUGCACUAUCGUUUGAUGAAUACAUAGUCAAACGAGGCGAACCGAGGGAACUGAAACAUCUCAGUACCUCGAGGAAAAGAAAUCAACCGAGAUUCCCCUAGUAGCGGCGAGCGAACGGGGAGCAGCCCAGAGUCUUAAUCAGCAUUAGCAUCAGGAGAACGGUCUGGAAAGGCCGGCAGUAAAGGGUGAUAGCCCCGUAUCCGAAGGUGUUAGUGUUGUGAACUCGACGAGUAGGGCGGGACACGUGUUAUCCUGUCUGAAUAUGGGGGGACCAUCCUCCAAGGCUAAAUACUCCUGAUUGACCGAUAGUGAACCAGUACCGUGAGGGAAAGGCGAAAAGAACCCCGGCGAGGGGAGUGAAAUAGAACCUGAAACCGUGUACGUACAAGCAGUGGGAGCCUUGAUUUAUCAGGGUGACUGCGUACCUUUUGUAUAAUGGGUCAGCGACUUAUAUUCUGUAGCAAGGUUAACCGUAUAGGGGAGCCGUAGGGAAACCGAGUCUUAACUGGGCGAAUGAGUUGCAGGGUAUAGACCCGAAACCCGGUGAUCUAGCCAUGGGCAGGUUGAAGGUUGGGUAACACUAACUGGAGGACCGAACCGACUAAUGUUGAAAAAUUAGCGGAUGACUUGUGGCUGGGGGUGAAAGGCCAAUCAAACCGGGAGAUAGCUGGUUCUCCCCGAAAGCUAUUUAGGUAGCGCCUCGUGAACUCAUCUUCGGGGGUAGAGCACUGUUUCGACUAGGGGGUCAUCCCGACUUACCAACUCGAUGCAAACUACGAAUACCGAAGAAUGUUAUCACGGGAGACACACGGCGGGUGCUAACGUUCGUCGUGAAGAGGGAAACAACCCAGACCGCCAGCUAAGGUCCCAAAGUCAUAGUUAAGUGGGAAACGAAGUGGGAAGGCUCAGACAGCCAGGAUGUUGGCUUAGAAGCAGCCAUCAUUUAAAGAAAGCGUAAUAGCUCACUGGUCGAGUCGGCCUGCGCGGAAGAUGUAACGGGGCUAAACUAUGCACCGAAGCUGCGGCAGCGAUAUGUAAAUAUUGUUGGGUAGGGGAGCGUUCUGUAAGCCUGUGAAGGUGUGCUGUGAGGCAUGCUGGAGGUAUCAGAAGUGCGAAUGCUGACAUAAGUAACGAUAAUGCGGGUGAAAAACCCGCACGCCGGAAGACCAAGGGUUCCUGUCCAACGUUAAUCGGGGCAGGGUGAGUCGACCCCUAAGGCGAGGCAGAAAUGCGUAGUCGAUGGGAAACGGGUUAAUAUUCCCGUACUGGUGAUAAUUGCGAUGGGGGGACGGAGAAGGUUAGGCUGGCCGGGCGACGGUUGUCCCGGUUUAAGGAUGUAGGCAGGUGAAUUAGGCAAAUCCGGUUCACUAUAUGCUGAGGUCUGAUGACGAGUCACUACGGUGGCGAAGUAGCUCAUACCCCGCUUCCAGGAAAAGCCUCUAAGCUCUAGAUUAUCAUUAAUCGUACCCCAAACCGACACAGGUGGUCAGGUAGAGAAUACUCAGGCGCUUGAGAGAACUCGGGUGAAGGAACUAGGCAAAAUGGUGCCGUAACUUCGGGAGAAGGCACGCUGGCAUUAGGUGAAGUGGUUUACCCAUGGAGCUGAAGCCAGUCGCAGAUACCAGCUGGCUGCAACUGUUUAUUAAAAACACAGCACUGUGCAAACACGAAAGUGGACGUAUACGGUGUGACGCCUGCCCGGUGCUGGAAGGUUAAUUGAUGGGGUUAUCCGUAAGGAGAAGCUCUUGAUCGAAGCCCCAGUAAACGGCGGCCGUAACUAUAACGGUCCUAAGGUAGCGAAAUUCCUUGUCGGGUAAGUUCCGACCUGCACGAAUGGCGUAAUGAUGGCCAGGCUGUCUCCACCCGAGACUCAGUGAAAUUGAACUCGCUGUGAAGAUGCAGUGUACCCGCGGCAAGACGGAAAGACCCCGUGAACCUUUACUAUAGCUUGACACUGAACAUUGAGCCUUGAUGUGUAGGAUAGGUGGGAGGCUUCGAAGCGUGGACGCCAGUCUGCGUGGAGCCAACCUUGAAAUACCACCCUUUAAUGUUUGAUGUUCUAACGUUGCCCCGUUAUCCGGGGUGCGGACAGUGUCUGGUGGGUAGUUUGACUGGGGCGGUCUCCUCCCAAAGAGUAACGGAGGAGCACGAAGGUUGGCUAAGCAUGGUCGGACAUCAUGCGGUUAGUGCAAAGGCAUAAGCCAGCUUGACUGCGAGAGUGACGGCUCGAGCAGGUACGAAAGUAGGUCUUAGUGAUCCGGUGGUUCUGAAUGGAAGGGCCAUCGCUCAACGGAUAAAAGGUACUCCGGGGAUAACAGGCUGAUACCGCCCAAGAGUUCAUAUCGACGGCGGUGUUUGGCACCUCGAUGUCGGCUCAUCACAUCCUGGGGCUGAAGUAGGUCCCAAGGGUACGGCUGUUCGCCGUUUAAAGUGGUACGCGAGCUGGGUUUAGAACGUCGUGAGACAGUUCGGUCCCUAUCUGCCGUGGGCGUUGGAAGAUUGAAAGGGGCUGCUCCUAGUACGAGAGGACCGGAGUGGACGCACCACUGGUGUUCGGGUUGUCAUGCCAAUGGCAUUGCCCGGUAGCUAAGUGCGGAAAAGAUAACCGCUGAAAGCAUCUAAGCGGGAAACUUGCCUUGAGAUGAGUCUUCCCUGACCCUUUAAGGGUCCUAAAGGAACGUUUAAGACUAAGACGUUGAUAGGUUGGGUGUGUAAGCGUAGCGAUACGUUGAGCUAACCAAUACUAAUGAACCGUGAGGCUUAACCUG
RNAcentral lists this ribosomal RNA (2909 nucleotides) under Providencia sp. R33. Its description in RNAcentral is "23S ribosomal RNA". It matches the Rfam family "Bacterial large subunit ribosomal RNA". Lineage: Bacteria; Pseudomonadati; Pseudomonadota; Gammaproteobacteria; Enterobacterales; Morganellaceae. The record is from RNAcentral.